UUGACCAGGGGAGAAUUCUUCCAACUGGACUCUAUGGAUGGACUGCAUAACUUUUUGAAUAAACAGUUUUUUGGGGGGAUAGAGAAUGCAAUCUGGAAAUUGUCCCAGUAUCACUUAGCUGAUGUUUAUUAAAAUACAUUUAAGUGUAUUGAUUCACUAAUGUGUUUAUUGCAUUUAUUUUGCCUCGAGGGAGCUUUUCACAUCCUCAUUUAAGUUUUCUUUCCUUUUCCUUUACAUAAGCUUCUCAUAAGCUUGGUUUUCUGGCUUCUUUUGAAUUUAUAGGAAGUAUUAAGGGAUGGGAAGAUGUUAAUAAACUCAAUGUUUAAGGAAGGAGGGAGAAAAACCUAUGAAAAGCAAGAGCCUUCAAUAUUAAAAAGCUCCAUGUUGUGGGACUGUUUAGUAUAGGGAAAGAGCCGUCCUUAUAAGGCCCAGAAAGCAUUGCAUCAACAGCCUCGUACAUCAUGCAUUCUUUCUUUGAUUCAUUCAGUAGAUCUUGGUUAUCUUUUGAAUGUCAGGAGCCAGCAGUCCAUCAGUAAAUGGAACAGACUCUGCUAAUUUGUAGUCUUUUUUUUUUUUGCUUGGAAAUUGAACUCAGGACCUUGUGCUUGUCAAGGCAGGUGCUUUGCUGCUCAGCCACAUCCUCAGCCUUGUAGUCGUUUUUAGUAUGGGUUGGAGGAAGAGAAGGACCAGCCCCAAGCCAGCAAGUGAAUAAUAAAAAAAGUUACAAAUUUGCUAUAAAAUAAAUCAGGAGCUGAGAAAAUCUAUAAUGGAGAUAUGAAAGGGGGGGUACUUGGCUUAUCAAGAAAAAAAACCAGACAUGUGUAGCCUCUUUACCUGAACUAGACUGUAACUGCACCGAGUGGGGCUGGGUCUGUUUCCUGGCUGUGGAGCCCCAGGACCAGCCCAUCACCUGGCAGUAGUUUAGUGUGCAGUGAAUACUGGCAGGAUGUGUAGCCCCUUUGCAGCAGAGGGUACAGCUGUGCAAGUCACUCAAGAAGGAGUUUCAAAUGCGAACUUACCAUUUUAAGCAUUUUUAAAUGGUGCUUUAAGAUAAUAUAUAUUCAUUUAUCUGGAGAAUUUAGGUGAAGCAUAGUGUUUCCUUGCAACUGAGAAUAAAUCAGCUAGUUGUGCUGUAUAGCCACAACUUCAUAGAACUAAAGCAAGGCCCUUCCGGAACAGGAGUUGGGGAGGAGAGACAUCUGGCUGCCUCACAGGGGGAAGGAUGGGAGGAAGAAGGUAAGCACAGGAUGUGUGUGUUCUACCUGCUCUUCUUUCCGACUCUGGUCUAUAGGAAAGCUCGUGGACCUCCUGAGUGUGUGGAGGGGGUCUUAGGUGGAGCCUGGGGUUUUCUGAAGCCACUGGGGGCCUUGACACCCCCAGGCUCAUGGGCGUAUGCAUCCUUAGGAAUGGGUGAUCAGCCAGGCUGCGGAAUGGAAAUGUGUCCAGCAACAUUAAAGCCAAAGCACAAACAUCUCUGACUCUUGGAAAUCUGGCUGUUGAUGGGGAGGGCCAUGAAGGGGACACCAUUGUCACUUACUGCCAGACUCUUGAGAAUUGUCUGGAUGAUGAGGGUUAAUGAUGAAUGGUUCUGUAGUUUCAAAUCAGACAGACUAAGCUUGAAUCCAGAUGUCUGUGUUUGCCAUUAACAUUGCGAUGUUGGGCUUUUGAUUUAACUGUCCUGAACCUUGUUUCUUAUCAGUUAAUUAGGGCUAUAAUUUAAUUUAUGGGGGGGGAUGAGAAUGAAAAGAGACAGGUUUGGCCAGUGUCUGGCACAUGGGUGCUCAAUGAUGAUUCCCUCCUCCCUGGUGAACGUCGGAAUUGUUGACUUCCAGGGACGCGACCUCAAUAAACUCUCUACCUUUAUCUGUGCAGAACACUUCCUCAUGCCAAAUAGAUAGACUCAGCUUUUAAGGGACUAGUUUCAGAGUUACUCUUGGUCUCUGUACCUCACUCUACAGUCAUCAGCUCUCUGACAAAUUCUGCAUCUAAGAUCCUGUUAGAUUUAACCCAGCUGGAACUGCUUGGGGGGAGGCCAAUGGGAGGAAUUGGCUUUUUCUCCUCUUAUGCUAAUGAAGUGAAUAUGGCAAGGAGUCACAAUAUUUUCUUUCCAGGCAAAGAAAUGUUGUACUAGGAGAAACAGCAUGCAGGGGAAGCAAAUGUGAUCUUGCUGGAUUCUCUCGAGGGAGGAACGGAACAAACUGUCAGCUUCUGUUGAGAAGAUAAUGCUCUCACUAUGAUAAAUGCCAAGUUUCUGUGGGAAGCCACCAUCUUCAUGGUAGCAUCCCCAAGUGUUUGGUUCAGGAAAGCAGAUCUUAUGAGAAAUGAGUUUAAAGCAAAUGAGACUGUGCAUUGAAAAUAUUCUUUGAAGGCAGCUUUAUAAAGCUAACUGCAGUGCGCCAAUGUGGUCUGCUCUUCAAACACACCUGUGGGCGACUUCUACCCUUCAUAAAUAUUUCUUGCAUAUAACUCGGAUUAAGAAGGCACAUGAGGUGGGAAAGCCACCUCAAAUAAUUUCCCUUCUCAUAGGAAGUCACCUCUAAUUCUUUUGCAAGUGAUUCAAAAGGCCUGUUGUGAUGGAAGUUUCUGUCUUCCCCAGACUUGGGUUUUACAGUUUUGUCUGUAGCAUCCUUUCUUAGUGAGGGUGUGUCUGGAUAUAUUUUAUUGAAUACUUGGAAGCACUUCCAUUUUUUUUUUUUUUUUUUUUGGUCUUUUUCAUUUUUACCGGUACCAGGGAUCGAACUCACGACCGCCUGCUUACAAGGCAGGUGCUUAUGUCGCUGAGCUAAAUCCCCAGCCCCAGCACUUCCAUUUUUAGUUUCUCUUCUGAGAGUGUUUUGUGCCAGUCUCCCUUACCUGCUUCUGCAUGUCUAGGUUGCCCCCUAGGCACAUGGCAUGUGUUCAGCUUACUUGAGGACAUUCUGUGGAGAAGUUUGGGAGCUCUCAGGAUGCUGGAGACCAUGGAGAUGGUGGAAAGCAGAGAGGAGAGAUGCCUCCAUUGGCUGUAGCUGAGGAGGCCCUGGAAUGGUGAUACUUGCCUACCAUUUGUGCAUUUGGCAGCUGAGUUCUAGAGAUGAUGAGCUGAGUGGGGUCCCUGCCCAUGUGGACCAUGGAGCAGAGGACUGGAAAAUGCUGGAAACAGAACUGCAGUGCAGUCUUGGUGUGGAAAGCACAAGGGAGGAACCUGCUAGUUGUUACUAACCGGUAGGGAUGGCAGGUGCUGUUCUGAGCUCUGUGCCCUAAUCUCCUCCCUGAGGCAGCCUUGGAAAGUGCUCAUUUGCCUUGAUGCCAGCCUGAGCACUGACCUGCAUGGAGUACUCAACAUUUAUCUCAGAUUCCUUAGAAAACCAGCAUUGCCAUUGAUGGUAGGAGGGAGCUCAGAAGUGAUUUGUCCUACGUAAGCAAUGAUAGAGGAGUUCUGCCUGUGCCCACUUUAGAAGGAAUCCAGUGAAGAUUGCCUACCUCAGUGGGCUUGAGAUAAUGAGUCUGACUUUGUUGUCAGCUGAAGAACAGAGAGGGGAGGGCUCAGUUUGAACAUCUGCCUCUGUCUUGCUCCAGUGUUAUCCACUGAGGACACACCCUAGGACUUUCCUCCCUUCUUCUUCCUCCGAUCUGUUUGUUUUUUUGCUUUGUUUUGUUUUUUGUCAUCUUACCUUGUGUAUGGAGAAGAAGCCGCUGCUAGGCUUGCUUGUUGGUCAGACCCUUGAACGAUACAGUGGACGCUGCCUUUUCAUGUUUAGAGAACCUCAGCAAAUAGAGUUAUAGUUCUGUCUCAUCAUUGCUGCCUACAUGCAUGUCAUAUGGGAUCAGCUAGUGAAGGACUUGGUAGCCCAACAAAAGGGACAAUGGUGACUUCUCAGAUGUGCGAGGACAGAAGAACAGGCAGAGUCAGUGACAAUUUGAAUAGUGUCCCAAGUCAAGUGUAUUAAUUGUAGUUAUCUUUUAAAGAGGCAACAAAAAGAAAUAGCAUAAUUCUCAUAUAUAUUGGGUCCUCCCAGUAUUCAGAGAUUAUGCAGUUGAUUAUUAUUCUUAGGCUCAUUUCAAGCACCAUGUUUGUAUGGACCAGGAAUUGACAGACUUCCAGAUAGCACAUAUUUUAGACUCUGAAGACCAUACCCUCUCUGUCCCAGCCACGCAGUUCUGCUGUUGUAGCACAAAACAUCCACAGACAAUAUGUAAAUGAAUGAGCCUGGCUGUCUUCCAGUUUUAACUUUCCUCUACAAAAACAGGCAGCAGGCUGCUUGUGGCCUGUGGGCUGUAAGUUACUGUGGAAGAUAUUCUCAGUUUCUGGCUUGAGUCUCAAAGAAAGUCAUGAUUUCAUAUAACUGAGAAUGUUGUUAGGGUCAGUCCUAAAAUUUCUUUUGGGGUGCAAGUAUACUCAUUUGGAAUAAUAGUCCUAUCAUGCUAACAUACAGCAGAACGGUCAUGUGUAAUGCUGCCUCUCCAAUCCAUUGGAAGAAUCUUUUGAAGGAGCUGUAAGUAUAAGGACUAGGGAGCUAGGGAGGUUGCUGCAGAUGCAAGCCCUUGGACGGGCAAGAGUGAUGAGGCUUGGGGUCUCACUGCUUUCUGAGCUGUGCAGCUGCUACUUCCUGGGGACGGUGCACUAGGAGGUAGUAGCAGCCGUUAGUGAAGAUCGUACCUGUGAAUACACUCCCAAAGGCUUGUUGCUGUGUAUCACUUGUCUGCCUGCAUUUCUUAACAUGAAGGAACCAAGUGGAAACUUCUUUCAGCUUCGUGCAAUGGAUCCUUAAGUGCUGACACCUGUAAGCUGGGAAUUUGGUCAUAAUAAUUUUCUGAGAAUGAGGAAGAGGACGAGGAAGAAAAUGAGGAAGAGGAAGAAGAAGGAGGAGGAGGAGGAGAAAAAGAAACAUUCUCAUGGAUUAAUUUGCACUCCUUAAGUCUGUAAAUGCGAUGACAUCAACAUGUUGAUGAAAAUGUGGAAAUUAACACUUGGAAAUUUUUAUAUAAAACCUGUAUUGAGAAUUCAGAUAAACAUUCACAUACUAAAAAGAGCUAUAUAUUUAUACCUGAAGAAACUCAAUUUGAUGCAAGCUGCUUAUUUCUCCAUUGUGGUCACGUGGGCCGAGGUCCUUAGUAUGAAAAGUAAUUUACGAAAAUUAGUCCAAGGCAGGUAGAGUGUGAAAUUAAAUUGAUGCCUUGAUUUCUGUAUUCUCUAGUAAGUAUUUCUCUGAAAAUUUGUCAUUUCUGUCCUAGGAACUUGAAAGUUUUUUUUUUUCAUUUGAACAGAGUAAAGUUCUUACUGGUUAAGGACAUGAAACAAUCUUAAUUACAGGCUAAGGAGGCAUGCUUCAUUUUGCUUUGUGGCUCAAUAUUAGAGUGAGCCCAAAUUGGGCUACCAGUAGAGGCUUUAACAUGUCUAUUAAAAAUUUCAACUUUUUGGGCCAAACCUUUUUAUUUCUUGGGCUGUGAUUAGGGCAAUUUAGGGUCCUUGAGUUGUGUAGUGCUAGAGGAACGUUUGGAGGCUGUUUUAUAAGAUGAAAAGAUUGAGACUCAGGAGUAACACAGUGAUGGUCACCAUUUCUGCGAAGACACACUGGGUCCUGGCUGGGCAUGUCUAUGCUGAUGAGUCCAAGCUGUUGCCCCUCUACAAGGGCAGUUGUCAGUAUCUGUGUCCUUGUGUCAGCCACAGUACAUGAGCAUGAGUAGAGUACAGGUAUUCUGGUUGAACUCUGGUUCUGAGAGGACAGAGAAUUGCUACAUACUCAUAGAUGGCCCCAGUGACCAGCUGAGGGCUGCAUCAGCACAGUUUAGCAGAGGCAGGGAUGAUGUGACGUGACCUUGUCAGCAGAACAUAGCCCUCCGGGAUAGGCCCAUCUGCUUGGUCCUUGGCAGUUCCGUGGCCUGCCACCAGCUAAGGAGUCAUCAAGCCACAUCUGCAGUGCCUAGGUGGGUGGUCCCCUUCCAUGAGGCCACCAUUGAUAGGCCAGGUAGAGGUGGGUCAGCCCUGCUCACUGAAUCACUUCUGUCCAAUAACUAGCAGUGGAGGUUUGGGGCACUCUGAAAAAUGAAUUAUGGGCUGUUGUGAUUUUUAUUUGUCUGGGGUGGCACGAGUGGUAUUUAUCUCUGGUCCUCACUCUUCCCACUCUCCAAGCUUUUGUCUCCAUCUGAGUCAGCAUGACAUGGUUUGAAAAUUGCCUGUUUGCCUUUUAAUGAUGAUUAAUAUCCAAAACCACAUUUCAAAUUUAGGAUCUCUUGAAGAGUUCCCGAGACUGUUACCCAGAGCAACCUGCUUUGGGAGUUGAUCUCGAAGAGCUUUUUAUGUCCCCAUUGUGAAUUUGAUUCCUCCAAACAUCUCUACCUUUCCCCCACCUCCUUUUGGCUUUCUUGGGUCUUUGGCAUGAGUGGCUGAGUGGGAGCAGAUAAGAAAGCCCCUGUCUGACAGUGACAUACCGUUUGGGACACAUUUGGGCCUUGCCAUGGGAUCUGCAGAAGGGUCACAUCUCCUUGUCCCUCCUUCCCACUCCCCAAAUCAGGGAGGCCAAGGAGGAGCUUCAUUUCCUCAACACCAGGUGCCUGUCAUCUAUCUGAAGAUAGUUGCCAACAUCUGGUACAAUUGCCUCCACAAACGCAGUAACAAGGCGGCCUGCAGUUCAGUCGCGGAGCGAGCAUCACCGCUUUAAUGAUAACAAGCUGCUGGCCUCCCCUCUGAGAUGAAUCCGUCUCACAGAUGUUUGUCUAGUUUUGGCAAUCGCAUCGCACUAUAGCUUUGGUGAUUAUGCUCAACUGGAGACUAUUACAAUAAAAGAAGUUUGAACUUGUUCCAUUUUUACAUCCCACCCCCUUCUUCCCUGUUCUGAGGUAUAAUUUAUAUCAAUGGCUGUAAUAUUGGUUCCAUUACUGAGGCCUCUUUACUUUUUAUUAUGUCGGUGGCGCGGCAGCUUAAAGCCUGGCUUCCUUCACAGGUUAAUGUGCUUUAGCUACAUCAACGCUUUUAAUGUCCUCACUUAAUGGCCCCAUGGCAGUCCUUUGCCCUCUGUUGAAGCAUGUGUUGACACUGAGAGGUCAUGUGAUUUCAUAGACUUAAUAUAUCCAGCUAUAGAUAGUUAUGGCUGUGUGCUGGGGAAGUGGGCAGGGGUCAUGUGGGAUGCGGAAGGAGAGGUUUCCCCCGUAGCUGACACCAUGAGCCCAUCCAUGGGCAUGUGGGACCUUCUAGCCUGCUGUUGGCCUUCCUCUCUUCCACGCUUCCUCCCACUUCCCCAUCCAUUCCUUCUGUUCUUCUUCCUCUCUUAUUGAGACUGUAACAAAAUAGCUAAAAGUCACACCUUGGUGGAAAGGCAUAUAGAGGAUUGUCGGGCAGUUACUGCUGCUGUGUUCAAUAUUUUGGGCUUUAAUAGUACAUAAUGAAUUAGUAUUUCAUACCACUUAAUAUUACACAGCUUUUGCCACUAUGCAGCUUAUAUAUAACAAUGGGAAGGAACCAGUGACCUAUUUGAAUCAUAUUUAGUGACAGUAAAUUCUAGGCAUUUUAGUAACAACUAUCAAUUGUAUCGUAAACAGGAACUGUCAUUAAUUGCAUCUCUGUCGUGUGCGAGCUGCUACACUGAUGAUGUAUAAAUGAUGAUGAUAUAUGAUGUGUGUCAAUGUGUCAUUCUGACAGUAUCCCUGCAAGGUAGAUGCUCCUUAUACCCAUUGUCACCAGUCAGGAAAACAAAGCUCAGGAAGGCACCUGCUCGGUGACACCAACCUGCCAAGGGACAGAGAAGAUCUGUUCAGAACUAAUGAACUCCAAAGUCAUACUCUUUCUCUGGCUGUCCUUGUCAUCAUUCUCCUAUCUGUGGUCUGAAUUGAUGUCAUGGAAAAGACCUGCCCAUCGGAGAUAUGGCGCAGUACAUAAAUCAGUGCAAGAUAAAUCACCAUCAUCACUUAACAUUUAAGCCUUUUUUUCAUUUUAAUUUGGAUAUUACUUUGUCAAAGAUGAGGAAACACAGUUUUGCCAAGGUGUUAUUUUUGUCAGAAUGCUUACGAAUGGGUGAGUCAGCCUGGCUGUGGGUGUCUCAUUGAUAGCCAGGCACCAUGUGCUCCUUUCCUUGGCCAGAAAUAGAUACUGGUCUCUGUGCUGAUGACAUGUCUGGAGGUCCCACAAACUCCACUGGGCUUCCACAAGGAACCAUGGAAACCACCUCCUCUUGACCUCUGGACAGGACCUUCACCUGUGUGGGCUUAUGUUCCACAGGAAGAGGGAAAAGUUUUCUUGAAAAGUUAGAGUGAUCUUUUGUAAUGCAUAUCAAAAUAAAAACAAGGAGGUAGCUCACAAAAAAUACUAGUUCUCAAAAAGAGCUGAAAAUGCAAAAUUUGAAAUCCAGCAGAUUAUUGAAGACUUGAUAUUAUCUUUGUUAUCCAACUUAAAGUAAAGGGCAUGCUUUCCACCUGGGUCCUAUAUAAUCGUUGAUUUUUAAAAAAUUCACCCAUGAUCUUGAGCUGCAUUUACCUUCUACGAUCCUUGGCUUGCCUACCUAUACGUUUUAGGUUGGUAGACACUGAAUGGCAUUUCGGAUCUGUUCCAUCUCUGGAGUUAAGUUCUGUUGGCUGGAACCAGCAAGUGCGGUUGCACGAUUGAAGUGUCUAUUUUAUGAUUCCACAUUGCUAGCUCCCUUCUGUGUCAAUCUGGGUUCCAAGUUGCACAGCCAGGUUAAAUCAAGUGUGAUUCACCAUUGAGGGCUGUGUGUGGAUGUGAGACUUCAUCCUCUUGACUUCCCCGCCUUAGUAGAGCUCUCCUGUGCCAGGAGUCAGCCAGAAAGUUUUCAUACCAUGUGUGUGACAUCCAAGUUCCUCGCCCUCUGCUGCCUGCCCCUCCUUGCCAAAUUAGUUCUUCUUCUGCGAUGCUGGAGCCAAACCACCAAAAUGCAGCAAAGACAUGUGGCACAGCUUUAUUCUAGUUUUUCUCUUGCAGUAGUUACAAUAUUAUUAAAAAUCCAUUAAAUUUUAAUGUACCCUAUAAAAUAUGUGCUCUUGUGAAAGCAAGCACAGAUAAUUAUUUCUGAUGAAUAAACCAAGAGGACAAGUAUGCAUGAAGUUCAUGCUGCAGCAUUCAAUUUUUAUUAUAUACAUCUCCUGCAGGGGCAAUCACUGUGAUGUUCCAGCUGGUUGUGUGGAGGGUUAGUUCUUGGAGAUCCUUUGGGGGCAACAUGAACCCUGACCUAUCUGGGAUGUUCUCAGAGCUCAUUAUUACAGGGAAGGAAAGAGCCAUGUGUAGCGGCUGACUGCCUUCUGUUGUGCUCUUUAAAUGAAAAGCUGAAGGAGAAAAUGAAUCAGGGGGAGAAGAAUGCUGUCCGUCCAGUACUCCAAGGGAGACUUGUGGGAUGAAAAGACAAACAUUUGAAGUUCUUUUGCCUAGUGACCCUCUGCCCUUGAUCCAGUGUCUUUGCUUCUGUCAGUGUUUGCCUCCUAAAUGAGGAAUAACCAUUCUAUCUGCCAAAGGGCUUAUUAAAGGAGUCUGCCUAGCUCCGAGUGGACAUUCUCACCUGUGAGUCCCCUCUUUCAUUCCCUUUCCUCUUCCUUGGAGCAUCCUCCAUAAUUCCAGAAGUUGGAGGAUGAGCUCCCUCCUCCUGGCUUCUGUCAGAUUCAUCUUGAACCCAUGCCUGUUGCUUGCUAAGUGCCUGCUCUACUACUGAGCCACUCUCCAACCCCAUGUGGGGACUCUUAAUGGAUUACUUUUGUGUCACAGCCUGUUGGGCUCUGGACCACCUCAUAUGCUCUAGAGGUGGUGGCUUCCUGUGAUUUCUGAGAGUCUGUACUUCCCAGGUGAGUGGGACUGCCUUUGCAGUGGAGAGUAAGUUGGGGUUGUUGGUCUGCUGGUCUCCUUCCUCAGGCUGCCUCUGGCCUCAAGCGCAGACAGCAGUUGUUCCUUGCUUGGAGGUGCACUGGCUUAGACUGAGGGGGAGGAGCUUGCCCAGCCUAGGACCUGACACCUGAUCUGCUUUACAGGCUGUUGAGCUCCAACUCAGGCCCCUUUUCCUUCCUGGGGCAGGGUUGGUCAUCCAGUAGGGUCUGACCCUGCUGAACGGAGGGCAUGAUUCAGAAAUAUUUGUAAAGAUUUGACAACCCAGCUCAUACAACUCUGUCUUCCCAGGGUGGCAGAGGGGGCGUUGUCCUCACAUUCUGUUACAUGGCAUGCUGGAGAGGGACCAGCAGGGUGAUAUAGGUGGAUCCCACAGUGGUACCCUGGAAUGUCACAGAAUGAAAGCUGCUGUGGAGAAUGUGCAACACUUUGCAUAGUAUGAGAUGAUCUGUAAAUAACUGAAGUUCAUUUUAAACUGUUAAAUUUUGUUUAAAAUAGAAAAAAGUAAAUACAGAAAUAAACAAAGAGCUAACACUUGCCCUCUAUUUUCAUUGACAUAAAGCAGCCUGCAGUAAUGUUUGGGUGCAACUUUGCCGUGGUAUGACUGCACAUGGUGAACGUGGCUGUGUACACUUUUACAUAAAUGGGAUCGUAUGUGGUGUUUGCCAGACAGUGUUUUCCAUUCAAUAAUGUGUCAGAGAUUUCUUUCUGUGUCAGUGGGCCCUAUUGUUUCUGUGGUACUGCAGUACCAUGAUUGACUCACUCAAACCCUUAGUUAGGAACAUUUAGGUUGUUUCCAGUAUCAUUAGGAUCAUUAUUUGGAAUUACAACCAGUGCUGUCAGGACCGCCCUCGUGAAUGCAUUUCUCUCCUGCGCCUGCUGUACUCUGACCCAGCAAUUCAUUUACAAUAAGGAGAUAAUAAUACAUUUUACAAUUUGCUAUUUAUUGCCAAACUGCCCCACAGGGAGGUUGGACUAAUUUACAUUUCUACCAGUGAAGGCGGUAUCUGAGCUUUGGUCUUUGGAUUGAUUUUUUUGUACCCAAGUUUUUCUAAAAUUUACAUUCCUCUGAAAUUUGUCGUAUGAAGCAUUAAAAAAAGAAAUACUGAAGCGUGAGGAAGCUGUUUUACCUUGACUUUUAAAUGCUUGGCUUUUAUAGGGCUUUUCCUUGAUGAUCCGAGAAGCCUUUAAUUGUUUCGGGACAGAGUUUCUGUUUCAGAUUGUCAUCUUGAAACAAAAAUGGUGCAAGAUAAAACAUUGGCGAGUGGGUGUGUUUAGUCGUGAUUUUUAGCGGGUUUUUGAUCAUUGUUCCUAGCUGCUUGCCAGUUUUGUCCUAGACAGGAUAUAACUGAAGAAAAAUAAUGAUGGCUUUUUUCUUCAUAUAAUACAUUGGCAAUUACAUGCUGCCUUGUGAAAGCAUUACCAUUGUUAUUUAAAUUUUGCAUUGCUCUUUUAAGAUAAAGGUUCAGCUUGCUACCUGUUUAUCUUUUCCCUCCAGCUUAGUGGGGACUGCAGACUGCUGCUUUUGUGUGUGUCCCUUGUGGCAGCACCAUGCACCCAGCAAAUGUAACUUUUCUCCAAUUACAAAGUUUUAGCUUUGGGAAUUCUCUGGGUAAACUUUUCUCCAUUGUGGAUGUGUUUUUGAUCUUUUGUCCAUUUUUAUUUAUUGGAUAAAAAAAUAAAUUGCUGAGCGCCUUUAAUACAGCAGGUGCUGAGGUGUCUGGUGGUGACAGUGUUCCCACCCUCAUGGGAGUUACAGACAGUGCAGAGCAGGUGGACCAUGAAUGAAUUUCUAGACAAUGUCAUCGUGCUCCAUGUGGGGUAGGGGCACAGGCCUGGGGCACACACUGCGUUCUUAUCUCCUGUCACCUUUUACAUCUGCAUUUGAUAAAAACCUUCUCCAAAGAAAGGCUUUGAGUUCCUAGAACCCCAAUUUCAAUCAUAGCCUGCACUCUUUGCAUUGGAGGGGAGGUUUCAGUUAAGCACAGCCUGGUGGAGAAGUAUUUUGGGAAGGGAUUAGGAAAAGGCAAACUGUUUCCGGCCAGUGGAAAGCAAGUGGUGCCAGAGGCCUCCAAGACCCAGGGCUUCUGAAUGCUGAAAUCACUGCUUAGGUUCAGCCAGAGGCGGGGCCACAUGACAGAGGCUUUCGAGAGCUUUGAAGGAUUCUGCUUGAGAGAGGUUCUAUGCUUCUCUUAGGUGGGACAGGUAUAAUCAGAGGCCAGUAUGCCUGGGGCGUUUGGCAGUCUUAGGGGGACAGCUGGCUAAAGUAGAGAAUGCAAGGGGACCCAGGCUCUCUCCAGCAGAUGGAUAAAGUAUAGAUCUUGUUUCCUGUGUCCUGGGGAAUAAGAUAGGCAACUUCUGUGAAGUGCCAAACACAAUAAAUAGGGGUUCAUAAAUGUUACGGUGCCUUUAAUUAUGAAAACACUGGAUGAAAAGUUAUUCAUUCCAAUUUCUCCACAUGGGCAUGCAGUGAGGUAGAAUUCCAUGUGUGAAGCUUUUCUGUGAUACCCCUAGCAAAUUUGAUGUGUUAGGAAUCUUUCAACUCUCCAAGGCAUAAACUUUUCCUUUUAAACCGGCUUUUAAUGGUUUAAGGAAGAAUAUUCCAGGAGCAAAAAUCAGCUUCCUUUAUAGAGUUCUUUAUUCUAGCCUUUUGAGCUCUCUGGAGGAACAGCUCUCCCCCACCUGCCUAUGUAUUUUGAACAUUCCUUUAAUAUAUAGGUAGAUAUUUUAUAUAUUAUAUAGACUAGAUCAGUGCAGGUGAACCUUUUAGAACUUUGAAUGAUAUAAACAACUUUCUGCAGCAUGCAUGGCAUAGUUUUGCCACCACAGAGUUAGAUACAGUGUAGAUAAAUGAAACAUACAUGUUAGAUCCAGGGUUGGAUAUAUGGCUAUGUGUCAUGACUACCUAAAGAAUUUUGGGUUUCAUUGGUUUUUGGUUGUUUUGUGUUUUGAGACAGUUUCAUUAUAUAAUUCAGGCUGGCCUUGAACCCACUGUGUGGCCUCAAAUUCUUGAUCUUCCUGCUUCAACCUCCCAGUUGCUAGAUUUACAAGCAUGUACCACUAUGCCUGGCUCUAAGAGCUUUUUAAAAAGUACAAAUAGAUGGACCUGUCUUUCGAGAUUAGUGGUAGGAGAUGUAUUUUUACAAGUCCUAAUAUAAACACAACUAAGAUUGGGAGACAUUGGUUACCUGUUUUUAUAUCCUAAAUAAAGGCAAUCACUCUUCUGGAACACACAGAAUUAACUGAACAAUAGAUAGCUGUUUCAGGCAAGCUCUUCUAAUUUUAAGUCUUAUGAUUUGUGCAAUUUCUCAUGAGUCUUGUUAUGAGGCUCCUUUGGCUCUUAACAUUCACCAUAUUGUUUUCCAAGGCAGAUGUGCCCAGCUACGUCUGCUCUUUUCACUCUGAUUUUGAAUGUCUUUCCCUUUCUCAAGUAACAACCUGUGUAUCACUCAAUAUAUAUUUGGGGCAGGCACAGACUCUGGGUAAGACAUCGGGACUCAAGAGUGUCAGAGAGUCCCAAGAGCUACACAGUGACACAGUGCCAUAGGCAUAGCCCCUAUCCUUGUAGCCAGCCAGAUCUUUCCCAGAGUAUCUGGCUCUUCCUAAAGUGCAGAGCAGUGCUUCCCAGAUCCUAGAAGGUCCUCAGUCUUACCAGACUGAUCCCUGUAGGCCUGUAGGCCUGGCCUCAGGUGACUGGGACCUUCUUGAUGCCCUUGACUGUUCUAAGGUAGCUUUGCACUUCACCCUGAUUCUGCAUGACCACCUGACACAGGGCAGUGCUGUAAGAUCCCUGGGAAUGGAGAGAUGGUUGGCUUGGAUUUUGGAAGCUUCUUGUUUUUGUUUUUUGAUGUCUGGAAAAUUAACUUCCAUUAUUUGCCCUCCCAGUAAGAGAAGGAGAAGCUGAUAGCAUCCUUUUGGAUGCUGGGAAAGCCAUUUUUGCAGGGCGGUGUUUGCACUGAUCAUCCAGUGACGUUUGCUGCCACUGUCCUUCCCAGCUGGAUGCUUUUGGAGCUUCUGUCCACUCACCCGACAUCUGGGGAGGCUGUGAUGAAGUGAGGGACCAUCUGUUAGGGACCGGAUAGCAAGGACAUCCACAGUACGCUGAAGGUUGGCCUAGAUGGCCGGCUAGGGCUUUUCAUGCCCUGCGAGCCUGCACUCCCACCUCCCUGCUACUGAUUUGGCCUCUGAUUGGGGGGAGUCGUAACUAGUGGAUCUGUUGUCCUUAUUAAAAACAAACAAACAAACAAGUGAAAACAACAGACCCCCCAGGCAAUUUACAUCCAUAUAGAUUGCUUGUACAAAAUUCCUUAGAAAUAGCUGAGCUGAACGAAGAAUUUAGUCUCGCGGAGAGCCAGCCCCAAUUAGCAUUUUGGUAUGUGCUCUUGCAGGCUUAUUUUCUGCACAUUUGCCCUGCAGUUGUCACAUUGGUGAUGAACGUGGAUGCAGGAGGCAGAAAACCCUGGCUGCCAGUUUGGGGGCAGUUCACUUCCCAACUGUGUGACCUUGGGCAAAUUAAUCUAUCUGUGAAAUGGUGAUGUAGUAGAUUGUAUUUUGUAAGGAAUGUGAGUCUUAAAGGAGAUGGAUGCAUGUAAACUCUUAGCAAAAGACCUCACACACAGUGCAUGCUCAAUAUGAUGCUUAUUUAGAGCAUACGUGUCUCAUUAAUUAUAAGAAUGGGACUCCCUCCAGAGCCUUGAGGUUGUUAGCAGAUGACCACAGAAAGUUUCUACACAUUGCCCAUUCAUUGGAAAUUCUGUUGCCACCAAAGAAAGCCCACCCCAGUGUUACCGUGAUGCAUUUUAAUGGUAAACACCAUCAUUUUGCUACACAGUAAUUAGGCACGAAUGGCAAACAGUUCACAUCAGUGAUUAUAAUUAAUUAGUACUGCUUUUAAAUAUCUUUUCUGCCAAACCCAAGCUCAUCUUUUUCUUUCCUCCUGUGGUUCUCUAGUGUCAGUGAUGAGUGUCAUGCUGUCUCUGUGGCCAUGUUACUUGUGGGCAGGCAUGGUGGUUUCUACCCUCCAUCCUACUCUCCAUGAUAGUGGGGUCCCAGGUAUGCUAGUGACUCAGCACAGCUGCCUCUCUGAUUCGCUCAUGGAGAGUCUUUGCCUGAUCCAUACAUCCCUAAAAGUGAUGACUUUCCUUCAUUCAUUUUCCUGCUUCCUGCUCUUUGCCUCUUUAUCUUCCCACGUAGGACACUCCAGAGCUGCACUGAACAGAUUCCAUCUGUCUGUCUGCUUCUCAAAGCCACAGGUCUCAGAACAUCCACCUACCCCUUGUCCCUAGACUUAGCUCCUGUUUACCCAAGAGUAGCUGCACUGUGCUCUGCUGGGGAGGCGGAGGAAGUGGGGCAAGGCUAUGGUGGUGGUUGGGCAGAGGAUCAGAGUACACAGAGGCAAAGGAGCCUUUGUUGUUUGGAGGUCCUGCCCCCUCUUCCUCUUGAAUUUGGCCCAGAUCCUGAUUUUAGAGCAUGGAGAAGGGGCUGCCAAGAGCCACAAACAAACAGGAGCCCCAUUUGCUCAGCCUUUGCAAAGCCUUUAACUGGAGACCAUGCCCUUUUGUUCCACUAUUAGAUUCUUUUCUUUUCUUUUCUUUUCUUUUCUUUUCUUUUCUUUUCUUUUCUUUUCUUUUCUUUUCUUUUCUUUUCUACCUGUCUGACUGAAUACUGCUAAAAACCCUCACGAGGGGCCCUUUGGGCUAUUACAUGGGAAGCCAGUUUUAUGGCUAUGACAUGUAGACAGUAGACCCAGAGACCAUGACACUCUUCUUACAGUAUCUUAUUAGUCUAGGCCAAGUACAGCAAGCUGUCCAACUGUAUGGGACAGAGUUGGGCCAGUUCCUGGACUACCCACUAUUAGAUUUAAAUGGGCAUGGUUGCUGAAACUCAUUCAAUAUCAAGUGGUAACUCACAGUUGCUCCUUUCCAUUUUGCCUAACUGGAGGGUAGUAAGUUGGAACACCCAGCAGAAGUGUCACCACGCAGCUGGGGGAAGAUCAAUCCCAACCAGUCACUUUUGGCUGGCCUAGGUGUGUAUGUCAUGUAUUCAGUGGGUCAAAGAUGGAGUUAACUCUUGAGUACCUGCACUCAUCUUUUCUUGAGCUUACAGGUAGAGGUAGUCACGGGGCAGGAGGCCUGGCACAACCUUGUGUGGCAAGGUGGCCCGUCCUUGCAAAAACCAUGCUUCUGGGUUGCUGAGGGGUCAGAGGCACCCGGGUCUCCAAGUUCAAGUCUGCCUGACAUGGGAAGACUGAGAUGCCAGCAGGUCCCUGCCAUCCCUUGUCAGGCCCCAGUCAUCCCUUCUUCCUUCUCUGACCUUCGUCCUUCUACAGGAGCUGGUCGGGGAGGAAGAAGGAUGGGACCACUGGUCAAAGUGAGCCCCAUUCCAGCUCUGUCGCUGAUUUAUCUGAUUCGUUGUGUAGGUCACGAGAGAUCCUGCUCAGUGCUCCCCAGCAGGUGGUAUCCCGCUCACCUGGUAAAUCUGCCAGAUAACUCUGUCCAUGUGAGUCUUCCCUGGAGCAGCCCUAGCCUACAGAUGUGGCUCACUGUGUCCCCUUGCAGCAGGAAGCGUUGCCAGGAUCCGUGCCUUUCUCCUUCAAUGUGCCCAGCCUGUAAUUUUAACUAUUAAUCACAGUGAGUUGUGUUGCACUUCAUAACUCUUCCAUUAAAUAUUAAGCCUUAAAAAAUUGAGCUUUCUUAAUUGAAUUAUUGAAUUACUAGGCACUUAAUAUGGCUCUGGUGGUUGUAAAUCACAGAAUUUCAGCCUCAGACGCGGUCUUGCUUUCCUUACCCAUGAUGUGGAAGGUUUGUGAGGCCUGGAGGAUCCCCAAGGGUUGCUCAAGGUCAGACUGAGGCUGAGACCCCAACAGUGCCUUGCCUGGGCACGGAGGCACUGCACCCUGUGGGAGUCUCAGGUCCCACAUUGGAGAAGGGUUAGGAAACAGUCAUCCCCAGGCAUUGUGAGGGGCUGCUCCUCUCUGGAGUCAUCAGACUAUCCUUGGGCCCUGCCCUUACCCUGGCCCCAUGAGAAAUGCUCCUCUUUAGAACCCCGUUGUGCUCGUGACCUUGGCCUCUAUCGCUCUUCCUCCACUUUGCCUCUGCAGCCAGGCCUGACCCCCACUCCCCUGCCUGGUGAGUGUCCCUGGGUCUCUUCUCCCCACCCUCUGCACAGUGAUGUCACUAACUCCAGUCUGCUGUCCCAUUGCAUUUGUGUCUGGGAGAGCAGUGGCAUUACUGAUGGCUUUUCCUGACUCACUCCUGGAGCCUGGUGUUAUCUGCUAAGCACCUCCUGUGUUUGCCUGUUGUCUCUCUCCUGCUUGGUGUCCCCAACCCAAGCCAGCCUGAGCCAUCACUGCCCCCCAAGAUGACCCCCCGUCAUGCUUUCUCCCACUCUUUCUCCCACUCAUCGUUGUGCACCCUCUGCACUCUCCAUCUGACACACCUGCCUCGAACUCAGCUGCUUACUCUGGACAGGACUAUGCUGCCCAACUUGGAGUGGCUGUCCGCUUCCUGCCACAGAAAAUCUACAAUCCCUUAAGCUCUGGGCAUGUUGACGGCCCCUUCUGAUGUGGUGGACACCAUGAUGAAUCUUGCCACCUCUUUAUAUUUUUUAAAUUUUAUUUUAUUUUUGCCACCUCUUUUGAGGGAAAAAAUUUGAGCUCUGUGAUGAAAUAAUGCUUUGAAAAGGGAUGCACACCAUGCAGGGAACGUUGCUGAGAUUACUCAUUGCUGGUGGGUGCUAUGGGUUAGAUGGGGGACUCCCCCCAUUCAUGUCCACCUGGAACUUCAGAACAUGACUUUAUUUGGAAACCCAUUCUUUGCAGACAUAAUUAGUUAAUGUAAGGUUGUCUUGGAUUAGGCCAGGCCCUGCAUAGUGGUUGGUAGGUUUAUGAGAGACGGAAAUUUGCUCCUUGAGAACAUACAGGGCAGGGGAAAGGUUGAGUCAGAGAUGGACAGGGAUGAUGCUCCAUAAGACAGGUGACAGCCAGAAGUGCUAGCAGUCACCAGAAGGCAGCAGAGAGGUAGGGAACAGCUUUUCCCUAAAAAUUGCUGAAUGAACCAACCCAGCCCACAUCGCAGUUUCAGAGUAGCCAGGAGUGAGGCAUAGGCUCCUGGGAUUACUGGCCUGUGUUACAGCAGCACUGGGAAACCAUUGGAGUGGGAAAACUGUGUUUCAAACCCAGGUCCCCGAAUUCUAAGUCCAGAAACCUCUUCUGUGUAUAAGUCUUCCUACCCUGCCUUUCCUCAUCGAUCUCGCCAACCUAGGCCCUCUCCGAGUGUUGAUUUUCCAGCAUCCUUCAGAGCCAGCUAACCCCAAAGAAGCACUUGUUGUGUGUUGCAUUCUGUAGGGCUCAGCCUUGGCUUCUACUACCGUAUCUCUGGGUAUCCUUCCUUUUCCUCUCCUUCUCUUCCUUUUUAUAGUGAUAUAAGUUUUUUGAAUUAAAAAAAUCAGGGUGGCAGUGACAUGAUGUUUAAAUUUUUAAAAUGUAUUUAUAAUUGACAAAUAAUUGUAUCUAUCUGUUUGUGGGACGCAGUGACAAUGUCUCACAGGUACGCGUGGAGCAAGUCAGGCUAACGUACCCAUCACUUCACGUACUUCUCUUUGCAGUGAGAACCUUAAAAAUCUUCUCCUUCAGCAAUGUUGGAAUAGACAGUUCGGUGUGAUUCAGUGAGGUUACCGUGAUCUGUGGUAAGAACUUACUCUUCCUGUCUAACUUGAACUUUAUGCUCUUUGACCCACGUCUCUCCCUUCCCCAACAUCAACCGUUAGCGUUGGCUCUGGAAACCGUGAUUCUACUUUCUUUCCUUCUCUUUGUUUUUCAGUGUUGAGCUAGGAUCUCACCCUAAUCCAGGCUGGCCUUGAACUUGCAGCAAUCCUCCUGCCUCAGCCUCUGAAGUACAGGUGCACUACCAUAACCAGCUAUGAUUCUACUCUAUAUUUCUCUGAGUUUUCCUUUUUUUUCAUUCCACAUGUAAAUAGAAUCAUAGUGUAUGUCUCCUGUACAUUCCUAUGGGGUGGUCAAGAGGGGUUAGAGGGAGUAGCAGUGUAAAGGGUCUGUGGCAGGGUGGAAUUUGAUGAUUUAAGGACCUACAAGAGAGGUGUGAUGUCACUGGGAAGAGCAGAGAUCCAGACUGGUUGUGUGUCUUGUGAGAGAAGCGGAAGUUUGAAUUUUGUUCUAAGUGCCACAGGAAGCCUACGAGUGGGUUUAAGCAGACCAUGGACAAGAUCAUUGUUUUUAGAGGUCACUUGAUCUGUUCUGUGAACUGGAUAAGGGGGAUCCACGGCCAGAGGUGAUUUGGUCUUGAUGUCCCCUGCUGAGUCCUUGCGCCAGACAUCUCUAAUCUACUGUCCUCCUCCCCCAGCUCCUCUGACACUUAAAGUCAGUAGUGUUCACUCACCACUUAACUAAUCAUUUCUGUACAUUCUUGGGGCCUCCCAGCCAGGCAGAACCCAGGGCAACUGUUUCACAUGAGGCUCUUUUGGAAGAUCCUGAGGUCCUUGGUAAUGGCUUUUCACCUGGGACCAGGUGAUGGAUUCACUUCACGUGGAACUCUCUGAGAGGUAGGAGCCGAGUUCCUUCCUGGUGGAAAGGUCUUUGACUGUCCAGGAAUUUGAUGACUAAUUUGUGGCCUGAAGAGACUCGGGCUAUUGACUGUCCUUGUCCCCAUGGGAGACUGUGGCUGUGUGAUGCCAUCCGGCCUUGAGAAUGGAUCAGAGCCACGUCUGCUGAACUAUGAGGCCCACAGCUUCUCCCCUGCACUGCGGAGCUACCAGUUUAGCUCAAGGAAUGAACACAUUCUUAAAAACUCAUAUCUUAUAACAAAGCAGUUCAAACAGGCAUGGUUCCUAAUGGACUGUGGAAGCUGGUGUCGCCAUAGGGUGCAGUGGUUAAAAGCUUUGCAGUGAGAUAAACUUGGAAUGGGGGGGGGGGCUGGACAAGUGACUUGACUUCAGUGAGUCUCUAUAUGCUGAUCUGAAAGACAGAAAAACAAUGAAGUAAAUCUUUAUGGGAUACAGUGCCAGUUUAAUGAAAGAACUCAAGACAGGAUGAGUGGAGGACAUGGUGCGUUAGAAUUGGGGGCAGAUGGGCUGGGAAUUUAGCUCAGCGGCAUAAGCGCCUGCCUUACAAGCAGGCAGUUGUGAGUUCAAUCCCCAGUACUGAUAGAAAAAAACAAAAAGAAUUGGGUGCAGAUAAUAGAGGAAGAAAGAAUGUUCAUACAUUUCUGGGGAAAACUGUUAUACUUGUGUUCUGGGUAUUGAGUUCUCUGAGAAGUUGUAGAAAAAACAAAACCAGACCCUGACACCCAGCUGGGUGGAUGAAAAGAGAGAGUUUGUGUUAGGGCCAGACUCUGUGAAGAUAGGCGUUGGCAGGCAUGGGAAUGGAAGCUGAGAGAGUGAAGAGUUGGGGGCAAGGUUUCCUGGGGGCUGGGCAGCCCAUCCUGACGGGGUUGAGGCAGGGCAAAGAAAGUGUGCGAAAGUGGUAAGUUGAGUCCUGCUUGGAACUGGAAGAUGACUGAUUGCCAUAAACAUUCCAGUAAAACCACUCCUCUGACUGUGACAGUAGUGAAUCGUAAAAUCAUAAAAGUUUUAGAAUGGGAAGGACAAGGAAAGCAUCUAGUCCUGCCCAAGGUCAGAUGGGGUUGUUGUGCAGGGAGAGAUGAACUCUGAGAGUGCUCAAGCUCUAGCAAAAAACAUUUCCCCCACCCUUCCUGCCCCUAGUCAUGGGUGGACUCCAGGAACUUGCCUCUCCCCAGCCAAGAGAUGUUUGACAUGGGACUCAAGGACAUUUGGAGACAUACAGCCCAGAGCCUGGCGUGUGUGUGGUUGAUGAAUCCCCGAGGUUGAACUGAGGCAUUUGUGUGGCAGGCACAUUGUCUAACGAAUGUCCACAGAAAUUCUUCCCGUCUGUCCGAUGGGGAUGGAGUUUAGGAUUGCUUAAGAAUGCUUUUAUCAAUUGUGAUGCCUACUUUUGGGUGGUAACCUAAUUCAUGGUAUUUCCCACUCAUUUCUUCAACUCUUUCUUUUAUCAUGUUGUAGGUAUUUCUGUAUGACAACUCCAAUUCCUUUUGGAACAAAAUGAGGUGGCGAUAAAUGAAGUCACUUGGCAUUUGCUCCCAGGUCAUCUGACUCCAUAAACCAGACCUGUUUGAUGCCAGGAAAGGAACCUGGGUCAGAUUGAACUUGAAUUCCAGCUCAGGGAGGGGCUGGACAGUGAGCCUGCUGCUCCUGGGCCCAUGGCACAGCAGUAGAGUGGACUGGGAGUGAAUCUGGAGACGUGAGCCAAAGCCUGGAGAGAGGAGGGCAGAAUGUUUUCAGUGGGUGGCCUGGUGGAGGAUUCGUGGUUCACUCGGCAAGACUUUGCCUGAAACUUUCUUCUUUGGCUCUGUCUUUUCUUUUGUAUGGAGUAGGGAUACAUUUUUCUAGCUUGUUGCCCAAAUGAAAAUAAGGGAAAGGAAAAAGAAAAGAAGGGAAAGGUAUGAGGAACAGAAAAACAGAACAUUGCAAGUUUUUGUAUUGUGUUCUCUCCAUUGCAGUGUGGAUCAAAUGAUUCCCAAAGAGGCCUAACCAAAAAAUCAGUUAGUAUCCUGUUCCUAGUAGCCGCAUUAGAGUGGUUCUUUCUUCUGAUUAAUCAGUAAGAGUUCAGAGUGCUCAGUACUGUGGAAAAGAAUACAGCCAUGGUAUGGGCCCCCUUGGGCCUAAGAUAUGGAGGAGACUGACAUUAGACAGACACACAAACCCAUGCACAUGUGUAAUAGUGUAGAUGAGUGCUUUGAAGGGAAAGCACAGUGUGUUCCGUGAGAGAGGACAUCGUUGUAACAGGGUGUUCACUCUUUGCUGCAGCCUGUACCUCCCCACGUUUUCUGUGGCUGAAGUGGGUUGAGACAGGUGGUUUGCCUGGCUCUGGGCACCUGUGCAGUGGUGUGCUGAGGAGAGGCGGACGUGGCGAGGCAGGGUGGCUCUUCUGCAGUCUUUCCCUUCCCCGCUGGGCCAGCUGUCCCAAACGGCUGGGUCCCAGGGCAACCCUCCCAGGGUUCAGUAACGGGUACCAUUUCUCAGAAGGAGCUGGCCACAGAGAUAAGACCACGGUGACAAGGAGGCCAUAAAUUGUUACCUGGGCUCUUUGGGUACCCCCUCUUCCGCUGUCCCCUCCUUCCUGAGCUGUGGGCUUGGAUUUAGCAACAGGGUUUCUGUGCAUGGGAUGGAGCAGAGAGCUGACUUUCCUGGUGGCUGGGCAUAAUCAGUGAGAUGCAGAGCACUGAUAGUGAGAAUCAAUUUAAUUUCUGUUGCUCGGUGACAAGGAGGGGGAGGGACAGGAAGGUCAGGACUGUUUUGUAAGCCACUGUUCGGUUAAGGAAGCAAAACACUCCCUCUAAGGAAUAUUUUAAAAUAUAGUAUUUUAGGGGUGAAAAAGAAGGAAGCGGGCUGAAGUGAGGGUUUAAUCAGAAAAGUGGGAAGAUGCCAUGGACAUCCAUGUUGGAUCUGGUGCCUGGACCUGAGAGUUUAGCUUCCCUGUUAAAAGGAACUGCAUUGUGCAUCUGUACAUUUGAUUCCUUUGAGACUUGAAGGAGCAGACACCUGGUUAGGUGUCACCUUUGUGAGACUUGAACUGAGGUGCAGUUCUCUGUCCCAUUGAUUGGGUGGUGCUUGGAGUCUCAGCUGCAGGCAGUGUUUGGUGGCUCUGAUCAAACUGGGAAACUUUACAGGGUUGGAGGCUGACAAGGGUUUAUAAAUCUGGAUGGGGACCUGCGUUUCCUCCUGCAUUGUGGCAUUUGCUAAUCAAAUUGUAGUCUUGCGUGACACAAAGGUCCCAGGGGAUCCUGCAGAAAAAAACCUUCUUGGUUGGGGAUAGAGACUGGAUGUUUUUUGGGGGAAAGGGGUGGACCAUCCACGCUUUCUUUGCCAGUGCCACAGACUCCUAUCUAAAGGUGACUUUCAUUCAGCAUUCGAGGGUGGGUAUUGCAGGUCCUGUGCCACAACUGCAAGAGGGAUUGGCCUGGAGGAGCUAGCUCACUGCCCAAGGGACUUCAGACUUGGGGCCAUUUCCUAAGGGUCACUUGUGUAUUUCUUACCAGUGAGCAAAUACAUUCAGCAUUUUUCUGGGAUGGCCUGAAGUCUUAGGUUAGUGUGUAAGGCCAGAGAGGGGUAGAACUGAUGAAGAAUUGGAAGUUUUUAACCCAGUGUUGAAGAGCCCCCCGGCACAUCAUGACAGUCAUAUAUUAUUGGUGUCAUAAGCGUGGCUGAAUGAAGAUAACUGCAGAUAACUGCGGCUGUCAGAACUACGUGACAAAUGUGUGUCUGUGAUUUUGGGGGUGAGGAGGAGGUGGGGGUCCUCUGGCUGAGAUUCAAGGCAAUCAGGGCCUCCUUGCCUACAGCUUGUGGGUGGACAGGGUGAGCUGUCUGCUCUGUUUGGGCUCCCCAGAAGCAGGUGGUCAUUUCACUCUAGGUCACCUUGGAUGUUCUUGUCCUAGAAGCCAUGUAGAGUAGCUUGAACUGUGAAUGGACUGGGUGGGGGUUCAUUCUGAAAUGGGCUGAAGACGUAGUGAUGCCCUGUUCCCUACUAACAAGGGCAGAGAAGUUAACAGGGAGACCUCUGUUACCGGGGACAUAUGAGCUGUGCCCCUCACUCCUUCCUGAAGAGCUUUGUGUUUGUCAUCCUGUGACUCGGAGACCCCUUUGGCCCUUGUAUCUGUGGGCUUAGCAGCAAUCUGAUCGAUUAGUCCUACAGACAUCCUGGGUUUUGGUCUACAUGUGUAUGCCUGCCCUUAGCCUGGCUGAGUCAGUGAGGGGUUCUCCAUUGAGCGUCUAGGGUUAGGAUGGAGGAGGCAGGACUCAUACCACUGCCGGAGGCUCGGGAGCUUUGCCGAAGAGCUAAUCAUCUUAAAAAUGAGCAGGGCUCUUUAUAAUUUGGCAGGCUGCCCUGGGCCGUGAGUGAAUGGCUGUGGGCGGGCACACACAUUCUGUGUACAGAGGCCCAGGGUGUGUUUGGUUGGUAGUGUGUCUUGUACUGUUGGUGUGGGUGUACUGUCCGAGGGUCAGGUAUGAGGAGAAGAAUGUGCAGACUUUGUCCUAGUCAUCUUGUCCCCUAAGAGGCCACAGCUGCCUUCAUUUGUACCUGGAGAAUAGGUCUCUUUGAUGUCUAUAGAGCUGUCUGAGAGUGGACCUGGACUAUCUCGUUUUACUGCUUUGGAAGCCAAAGCCCAGUAAGGCAUAGGACUCAGAGCUCUCCUUGGAUCUUGGACCAUUUCUGGUGGGCAAGAACUGCUGCUCUGGCUAGCUUAUUCCUGUCAACACUGCCCCCUGCUGUCCCUUGGGGCUGUGGAUACCUGGCUGUCCUGGAGGCCCCUGUUUUCAGCAGUGGGGCCCUUUUGUAGGAGGCAGUGAUGCUGGUAACCCAUGGAUGUGAGGUUGAGCUUUUAUUCUUCAUUUCCAUUGAUGAGGAUGGCUUUGCAGAAACACCUACAUCCUUGCCUGGGUUGGUGACUCACAGGGACAAGAUGGCUGAGCAGGGAGAGGGCUGUAUGCUGUCCAAGGGCCACAACUGACUCUUAAUCCAUUUGGUGCUAGUUUCCAACCCUGAGGUUCCCAACUAGAAAGCAGGGCAAGGACUGACCACUUCCCUCCUUGGCUGUGCUGGGGUCAAACGUGCAAGGUGUCUGACAGCCUCCUCCGGAAGGUUCCUGUACCAUGCACUGCUGCUCGGGUCCUCCCUGCCCUGCAGCCUGAGCUAGGAUGGCUUGGUUUAACUGGCAGGCUGUUGAUCUUGUAGAGAAGUCAGCAGGUAUCAUCAGUGCAGAGACAGACCUGCAGUCCCACAGGACUGGGCUUGAAUCUCAACCUCAACGCCCCUCAGUUCUGUAAGUUUAUGAAUUCCUGGGAGCUGCUUCAGGAAAGGGAACCCUGGGAGACCCACGUCCUCCAUGCAGCCAGUACAGGAGGUGCAUCCAUUGCGGUUGCUUUCUUUUCCUUUUUUCUCUUUGGCUUAUUCUAUUCUUCCUUUCUUCCUCCUCUUCUGAGGGGCAUUGUGUUGACUUAUCCGGUGUGAAGCAUACUUAACCUGUUACCCAGCCGCAGUAUUGACUGGUUUAGGUAAAGGUGGCUCCCUCAGGGGCUUCUUUCAUUAUUUCACUGUGGUAGCUUCAGGAGAGGGUGCCAGGGAGGCAAGAUCCAGGUGAGGCAUCCCCUCCGCUCCCCGAGUACCCUCUCCCUUGAAGUCCUCAGAAGGUUAAACUGGGCGCCAUGUUGAGUUGUGGCCUUGUGUAUCAGCAUAGGAAAUUCUGAUAAAACUUCAAGGGACAUCUCCCAUCUUAGUUUUCAAGCAUGAAUAACUCUGUCCCCUAAUGUAGAGUUGCUCUAACUUAGGGUUUCCUUAAACAGCGUGAGAUUGGUUCACUGACUUCCAGAAUUUUCUGCGUCCUAACUAGUCAGCCAUCUCUCCUCCCCUUCCCUCUGGGAGAAAUGAUGUUUUGUUCAGCUGGUUUCCAGUGAGUUUCUUAUGGGAAACAGCCCAUAUAACUCUAGGUUCUGUUGCCCCAGAGGAGAUGGGGUGAACAUAAGAGCGACCCUGGGAAGGUCUUGAGUGCAGCAGGGUGGGGGAGGGAAGAUACUGGCCCAGGCUGUAUUUCCCUUCCUUUCUUCCUGGCAGAUGUCUAGAAUGGCAUCUCCUGCUGGCAUUCAGGAGGGUCUGGGAUAUGUCUGUCAGAGAGCGCUGGAAAUUUGAUGCCCUGAGGAAGGAGAGGGAAUGCUUAUAGAAAUCACCCUCAUCAAAACUUGGGAGUGAGGAAAGGUGGUAAUGAGGGAGACUCAUUCUUUCUUAAACCAUCCUCAGAGAGCUUUCCCCAGCUCUUGGGAAAUGGGGAACCUGAGGGCUCCAAGCUUCGGAGCUUUCGGGAUAGCUUGGCACCUCUCGUAGGCCUGGCUGAGGAAGCCUCGGGCCUUGCCUGAUGGCAGCUAAGUGCCCUCCCCAGUGGGAAAAGUACCCCAAGCUUGAGGCUGGGGCUUAUGCUGGGCUGUGAAGGGCCUGUGGCUUUGGCCACGGUGAGGUGUGGGCACACAUUUGAGCCCUUUCUUCCUGACUUCUCCCUGUUCUUCCUGGCGCCUCUCACCCUUUACCACCCUGGGGGUUCUACAGGGCCUUGCCACCUCUCCAUCUCGGCUGGUGCCACGUGUUGUGUCCUGUGGCAGCAGCUGUUGGUGCUGACUAAUGAGGCUUCCUGGCAGCUGCAGUGACACACAUGGCUCUGGCAGAAACUGCCUCUCCUCAGCUGCCACUCCUGCCCCAGCCACCCGACAGGGGCCCGGGGAAGGUGAGUGAGCUGAGCUACAGUGGGAGGCAGAAAGCACUAACUGUUAGCAACUCUGGAGCCACAGGACAGUUAGAAGAGCCAAGCUCCAUUCUGCAUAAGAACUUGCUGCCCAUCAUGGGUACCUGAGGUCAAAGAACAAGAUAGGAACUUCUGGACCAGGCUGUUCUACCUGGUGAGGGAGGCUUGCUAUGGGGCCAGUCUAGCUAGGGCCUGAGGCUGGACUCUGUCACUCCCUGGUUAUGUGUCCUUGAGCAAACUGUGUGACCUCCUUUAGAAGUAAAUGGCAGAAGCAGUGUCCCUGUCCUGUGGUUUGCUGCGAGGAUAGGAUGAGAGCCCAGGUAACAUGCCUUGUAUAGUGAACCUCAGCCAGAGCCACUUUGCUUCCUUCAUCUUGAAAAACUGGGUGGACACCCCUUUCCCCCAUAAAUCCAGUGGUGUUUGUAACUGGUUACCCCAGUGAUGUUCACUUAGCCUGGGUAGGAUGAGCAGAGGGCAGAGCCAGGAGAGGAGUGAGAGCCUCAGUGCUUGCUGAUCCCCAUCUCUUCCUCCUUUCCCAAGGAUUCUGCUUUCAGGUCUGAGAAGAAAUCGAGGGGUCUUUGAGGGCUAAGCAUUUACCAUGGCCCAGAUGACCCUCCAGAGACAAGUGGCCUUUGCCUGACAGCCACAGCUGCUGACCACGAAGGGUCUGCAGAGUCUAUCCGGUAACUUUAGGAGGCAGAUUCUUUAUCCUCUCCAGGUGACAGACAAGAACACAAGGACUCACCUGGAGAGGUACACCUCCCCAAGUGACAUUUGCUGCAAAGCCAUGAGAUGGCCUAGAUCUUGUUGCUAGGUCCCCUGCUGCUGCGACUGGGAACUUUGUCCCUGGAAGAGCAGGAAUCUUGAUUCUGAUUUCCUGAAGGCCUUGUGGCCUGGCUUCCCUCCGCAUGCCACCUCUGGACAGACAGGCAUUGAGUGCCGUCCAGGCAGAAACGAGGCCCCUAAAGUGGUAGGAAGCCUAGCAGGGGUCAGUCCCCUUGGUGGCUGCUGCUGUCCUUUCCAAGCACUAGCUCUUCAGGGUUCAGAUAAUAGGGUUUUGUGCUCAGGUCCUUCCACAGGACUUAAUCAGGAGGACCCAUCUCAGCUCCUGACCCUCACAGGGUGGGGAGUCCUUGUGAGGAUGUCUAGGGGUCACCUCCUACAAAUAAGUGGAGGUGUUGGCUCAGUGCAGUAGCUGAUGCCUGGUCCUUUUCAUCUUGAUUCCAUGAUGAGUGUUUUCCCCAGGAUGCCCCGAGUUCCAAAGAGAGAUUUUCUAGCUAAACCUGCCUGGCUCCAGAGGAGGUACCACAGACUUCCUGCUAAACACCCGAGGGCUAGGAAUGCCUUUGUGAAAUGUUUCAGAGAUGAUCCUAGAAAAGCCUCCUUCGGGUCACCAAACUGUGUGUUUGUGUCUCGGGAUGAAUUGUGUGAGGAAGAUAUUUGCUCCUGAAAUGAGAUAUUUUGUACAGUGCAUGCAGGCCUUUUAUGUGAUAGCGAAGGCAGAUGCUGAGCUGUCAGAAGCCAGGGUUUGAAGUUGAAAGUUGACUUUGCCCCCUGUAGUGACAAAGUUCUGUGUCAGUUUGAAUUUCAAUUUCCUAGGAUUUCCAUCUGUUUACAGUCCAACCCCUGCUCUCAGCACCUUUGGGUGUGCUUGUGGUUGUUGUUCUGUUGAUUGUUGUUUUGUUUGUGCUUGGGUGUUUAGGGGAGGGGUGGUUUGCGACAGGGCAAGGGGGCAUUUAACCAUUUAUUCUUUUUAGUAGCUUUAAUUGUGUAAAGAUUAUAAUGCAUACAAACGGCUGUAAUUAGAGGAGUUGGUUCUGUAAGACAGUGUUUCAGUGAAGAAAAUUACAGUGAUCAUAAGCUGUUUAAGGAAGAGGCAGCAUAUAUUAACAUGCAACUAGUUUUUGUUAUCUCACAAUGCACAUUUACUAGUGCUCCCCGGAAGUGUGUCCCCCAGUUCCAAAGUGUUCCUUGUCCUGAAGUGCUUCUCAGCUUCCUGCAGCAGCAGAGCCAGGCCCCUCAGCAGGAUGUGAGCUUUUCUCCAGCAGGCCCCCCACCUUGUCCUUUGACCAAGUGAGUCUCAUCCAUUCAUGAGACUGAUGGUGACGAGUCCUUACUCUGGGACCGGGGAUGAAACAGUAGCGCUGUGAGCGAAGGAAUCACUGUUAAAUGUCAUGUGAGUGAGACUCUAGUGAAUGAAGGCAAAGAGGAAAGAAAUGGAACCAAGAGGAAUGGGGUGGGAUUAGGAGUGAAGGUGUUAAACUAGGCAGAGCGGGCAUGUGACCACUCAAGGACAGGAGUUUCUAGGCCCGUGGCAUGGCUCUUGUGGCCUUAAAGACAAGAAUAAGCUUUGUGAGUUCAGGGAACAGAAGGAAAGGAGGUAGACCCAGAGCACAGCAGGGAGCAGGUGACAGAGCACAGUGGGAGAGGUGGUGGGGCCAGGUCAUGUGGGCUUUUCUAGGGGAUGAAGGGAUAUUCUGUCAUGGCUCCAGUGAUCCCCUGGGGGACUCUUCCAGAUGGUCUCAAUGUCAGAGGUGCCAAGCACGCAGCACGGGGCUUUUCUCUGGAGGCGAGCUUUUAGGCCCAGUGGUGGCCCUGCAGUAUUGACAGCCCAAGGGACAUCAAUUGGAGAAAAAAAGACUGUAAAGGACUUGGAUCAUGUGCUGUAGGGACACUGAUGUCUCUGGUUCCACUGGCAUAGCAAUGUGGCUCUGAAGGGCGUAUGGGUGUCUGAAGAAGCAGAUGGGAGUGGUACGAACUUCCUGGCAGAAGGAACCGCAUGGGCCAGAGGCUCAGUGUGCUAAGGGAGCAGCAUGUAAUCUAGUGUGGCGAGGAGUGGACACUUGGGCAGAAGGGCCCGGUCAGGCUGGGGUUGCCCUGAAGCCUUGCGCUUUAUUAUGUAGCUCUGCUAUCAGGUUGCCACAUAAAACAGAACCCAAACAUCCGCAUGCUCCAUCCACACACACUAGAGGCUGAAACUUCAACUCUGAAGCCAAGUUGUGGAUCCUCGUUUAAUUUUGAAUUUUAAAUCACCCUGCUCCGGAAGGAAGUGUCGUCUGAGGGUUAAGUGGACCAGUUGUGUAGGGCUAGAUCCCUGUGUAUCCCAAUCUGGCUCCUGGCUGGCCCACCAGUAAGGCCUGGCUGAUCCAGCUGCCUUGUCAAGCUCCUGGUCAGGUAAAUAUGUGACACAUAGCUGGACCCCUAGGUUGAGAGGCCAGUGUCCAGCAGCUCCUCUCCCUUCUCCGAGAAGGGGCUGUAGGGUGGGACCAGCAGUUCUCCAUGAUGGCAUUGCCCAGUGUCUGCGGUCCCAGUCCCUGUGCUGAGCCUUGGCCCUUGUCCUGCUCCCCAUCCCCUGCAACUGCUUCUGCUUGAAGCUGUCAUCUGAAAUAUCACCGAUGUGCCCCUCCUGGUGCGGGUGGGGCUGGGGCUUGUAGUGAGUGCUGAGGGCUCAGUUUAGAUUUCAGCUGAAGGGGAAUGGAGGUAAAGUUACUGCACACCAGGCAGUGAGCUUGUGUAGGCUGCUUCCUCCGCGGGCAGUGCCAGGGCACUCAGACCAUCCCACUCUCGUGGCCUUGCUGAAAGGCGAUUUGCUAGGAUGAAAUAAAGACAUCCCUAAUUGUGGUGUGGGAAAGUAAUCCCAAAUGCAUUAAUUUGCCCCAGCCCCGGGGUAUGUGAGAAAGAGCCUGCCUGACAUGUUUUUCUUUUCCAUUAACAUUUCUGUGAUAAACAGCUUAGAUGCAUAGAGAAAAAUUAAUGAAACUAUUGUAACAAUCACACACAUGUAGAUAAUUUAUUAAGGACAAUUAAAAAGCUUUAAAAAUCAUCCAUGAGGCAAAAUGAACAGGGAGCUGGAGUUUGGUAGGCUUUGGCAGGGAGCCUGCCUGAAGGUGUGCAGAGUGCGCUUCUUUCCGUUGUUCCCAUAGAACCAUAGGACUGUGGGAAGCAUAGAUUCGCACCGCCAGAGCUGUGAAUAGCAAACACUGCGUUCCGGCUCUUCGUUUCUUGAAGCCAGGGUGACAGGGAACAUGUGCAAGUCCUGCGGUCCAGGACCCAACUGGAAAGUGGCUCUGCUUGUUCUUCUAAGGGACACAAGUGUGCUUCUCCCAGGGUCUUACCUCUGGGAGUUUGUAGGCUAACAUCUGCAGUUUGGAUUUUUGUUGACUUUGCUCUGGGAGCCUCAAAACCAAGUGAGAAGCAAAAGAGGAACCUAGAUGGGUUAUGAAGGCAUUGCCGUGGUGUCAUUUGCCAUCUCCCAGCUUGGGACUAGGGCUGGCCUCUGUUUCCUCAAUUUCCUCAUUUGGAAAUGAGGUUAACAGUUAAGUGUGCGAGGAGGCCUGGAGGGAGAGGCUCACACAAGACUGUGCGUGCAAUGGCUUAGCUAGAUGUCUGGUGUGUAUGCCACUAGCGUUCAGUAAAUGUUUAAUAUUCAUUAUCAUCCUUAGAGAGCAUCAGCAUUGCCUUAGAUCUAGGAUUAAAACCCAGGUAUCUGGCUCCAGGCUGGCAUCCUUUUGGUGAUGUGCUGAAUCCCACUCCACGCAUGUCCCCCUCCCCAGCCCGGGCCCCUGCAAGGAUGCCAGCACAGCAUCCUGUGUGAAUGUGGGGAGGGGCACACCUGACUGCCAUGGUCACGGAGAGACUCCUUUUCGGAGAGAUGGAGGUGCGAUUCCUCGUCUUGGCUUCACCUAGCCCCAGCCCCUUUUCACCCUGUCCAGAGCUUGAGCAACAAGUCUUCCUUACCUUGGAAUUUUCUUCCUAUCUCUGGGACCUGGGAUUGAUAAGAUUUACUUUUUUAUUGGUUGGUCAUGCAAACAGCUUUUGACCUUGUGGACCAGAAGUUUCUCAAACAAGCACAUUUACUAAUGCGUAGCUGUGCUAGCUGGUAGUGUUAACUAUGCUCUGGAUAGCUGUUUUGGUUUCAUUCUGUUUUUCUCCAGACUGAAUUGUAGGCACAUACGUUAUGUGUCCAUUAUAGACGUAUACAUCUAUUUGCAGGAAGUAAUUUUUAGUUCUAACCAGAAAGGAAAAUGAAGUGUUUUAGCUCGUCAGACACGACAGAUUUUUUUCCCUUCGCGCGCUGCAAAUGAGCAGUGAAAAAUUACUCGCUUUUGCUAUUAAAAGCUAUAGAGCCUGUAAAAAAUAGUAAAUUAUAGAGACAUUAUCAAAGUUUAUAGGCACUCAAAUUUGACCUUCAGCAAAUUCAACAUUGGAGGAGAACAAGGUUUCCUUUUCAUCCUUCAAAACGAAAAAAAGAGAGGGAGAAAAAAGAUUGAUUUCAUUUCCUUCUGUAGCUAAGCGUCAACUAGAAAUGGCAUUCCCUAGCUUAGAAAAAGAGAAAACACAUUAAGUUGCCGAAAGUAGUGCAGGAAGUCAGUCUCCCUUGGAAAAAUUAUAAACCUUUAGAAAAAGGUGAUGGUCCCUUUGCAUAGUUUGGUGAAUAUUCAUACAGAGCUUUUUGUGUGCUGUUAUCUGUCUUCUGUAGACUCAGAAAAUAGUAUGUGGAAUCUUUUUUGCUUUUUACACUUUUCCAAAAUUGUUAAGAAGAGGGGCGGAUUUGAUGGACUAUCAUGGACUCAGAUUGGAUGGUGUGGUGGGUGACGGGGUAGCUCUACACCCUUGGGCUCUGCUUCCUUCCUUGUUGAUGAUCUAGAUGCAGCCUGAGGAGCUGGAAGAUGCAAGUCAGCGUCCAGAAGGAGUGAAGCGAUGGAGACUGAUGGAGUGCCAGUAAUGUAAACUCGUGCUCUCUUUGACUUUAAGUAGAUCUCGACACUGUUCCAGUGAAGACUGGAACUGUCCAUAGUGCGGUGUUGAGCGUGUGCCUGUGUGAACUCAUAGGCAUGCAUGUAGCUGCAUGUUUAAGAUAGAAGUUCCUCCGGGAAGCUUCUGUGGGAAAUCUAGAAAAAAUCCAGAAAUCAUGGCAGAUAAUCUAGUCAUGAAAUGCAUAAGUAAGAUUGUUAGCCAAACUAAGUCAGCAGGUAUGAGCUGUGAUGUUUGAGGAAGGUACCUUCUAAGAACCAGUUGUUAUUUCUGAAAACAGCAGGCUGGUCUGCUUUAGUGGGCUCCUGGAGUCUUCUGAAAGUAGUGCCCUUUGUCCCAUCUGUCCUGUGACAUUUCUGUAGCAUCAGGUGCCAGGCUAGGGCUGGGCAUCUCUGGUCAGGGGCCCUCUCCAUUCUUUUUCCAGGAGCAGAGGUUUUUGUGAGCUGUUGCUGGAUCUUCUUAGAGAGUCUCUGAUCUCAUUCCUGAUCAGUCCCUGAUCUCAUUCCUGCUUGCUGCUACCUCUGCUGGGAGACCAGCAGAGUCAUUGGCGUGGGGCUUAGCUGCUCUGAGAGUGAAAGUGGGGAGGAGAAGCUGUGGCUCUUUGGGACAACACUUAGAGGUCCAGGAAUCACAAGAGACAGGCUCAGCAGACCUGACCUGACUUCUCCCUCGCAGCCUUGUUCAGUGAGAAAUCUUUAAAAGUCUGCACAACAGCUGCCCAGCAAGGGCAGUUAGAGCCUUUCAGAAAGAGAGAAGAAAAUACAGGGCACAGUCUGUCACCUCUGUCAGCUGCUUUCUGGUUCUAGAAAUGAAGCUGUGAAAAGGAAGAGUAUAUUAGCUUUCCUGUUAUUGGAACAAAAUACUUGACACCAUAACUUAAAGGAGAAGAGAUUUAUUUUAGCUUACAGUUUCAGUUGGUUCAGUCCAUGGUAAGCUGAUUCGAAGGCAGAAACAGCAUGAUGAACAGGCAUAGUGGAAGAAAGGUGCAUACAUCAUGGAGGGCAAGAAGCAGAGAGAGAGAAAAGAGGAACCAGGAACAAGAAUGCCCCCUUCCAGAUCCCACUCCAGGUGACUCACCUCUUCUGACCAGGCCCCACUGUGAAUAACAAUCAUCUAUGAACUCAUAAAUGGACUAAUUCACUGGCGAGUAUUGUGCUCCCCAUCAGCCAGUCACCUUCCAGAAUUCCCACUUCUGAACAUGAGGCCUUCGAGGGGGCAUGCAUUUUAGAGCUAAAUCAUAAUAAAAAGUAUCACACACAAGAGUUAGCUGCUGGCUGCUUUCAUGACCAAUGUCCCCCAGCUGUCUGUCCCAGGAGUGGGCAGAGCUGACUUUGCCCUUGUUCAUCAGGCUCCAGUUAAAAGUACAGGAAGGGCCUUCAUCCCCAGGACCUUGUUCACAGUUCAGCCAGCUCCCCUAGGUACCCAGUAGGUGAUAAACCCAGCUGGUGUCUGGGGCAUAGGACUGGGGAUCCAGGCUGUCUUCACCAUGGCUCUCUGGGCCAUUUACCUGCACCUAUCUUUUCCAGAACAGGAAUAACUGGGACCCAUGUCUAUCCUCACAGAGGAGAAGCAACUUGCCUAGGACUAGAAGACAGAUCUUCUGCUGUCCCCUAGUGGUCUGUCCCUAUGGCAGGCUACAGACCCCUGAGCUAUCGAUUCACUUUUUUACAAUUGCAGUAGCCACUCAGUGCCUUCAGUGUGUCAGAUGCUGGCACAGUGCUUUUGUGCUUCCUCUGCCUGCUUCUCAUAACCUCCCAUGUUUUAUAGGUGAAGCCAGCAAAGGUUGAGGACCUGCCCUCAGAGACUCCAGGAUGCAGGGUCUAAUCUUGGAUAGGAGGGAGGUCCAGUUCAGAGAAACAAAAUCACCUGGGCUUAGGGCCUGGCCAAGGGCUCUGUCUGCUGUGGACUUGGGCCACUGUCGUACAGUACCACCUUGUAGAUUUUCAGAGCAUCUCUGACAGAUUGUGAGGCCUGCUGUGUCUCCUCUUGUCAUCUAGGUGAUGAGUCCCACAGGCCUUAUUUGUAAUAUGUGGGAUUGGGCUGAGGAUUUAGCUCAGUGGCAUAGCACCUGCCUGGCAAGCGUGAGGUCCUGAGUUCAAUUCCUGGUACCUCUCAAAAAUGGAUUGAGAUAUAAGCAAUAAACACAAAUGCAUAUUUGCCUUUGAAGAGUAUUUACCUUUGGACUAGGUGUAGUGGUGCACAACUGUAUUACACAGUGAUAUCCUGUCCUAAAACAAAAACAAACAAACAAGCAGCAUGUAUUUUAUGCCGAUGUACUUCGAUACUAGUUCAUUUAAUCAUCACAGCAAUCCUUGGGUAGGUACUACAGGGUUAUGUUGCCCAACUGUUGCCUGCCCGAGCUGAUAUCCAGAGGGAGUCCUAUCCACAGGGUGGAACCUCGGUAAAACAACAGCUCCUGGGGGGCUGGAUGACGAGGACUCUGUCCCCAGAGAACUGUGUGGAUCUUGCACACAUUUCUUCUGCUUGUGCAUUAUUGAACUGAAAGGACUGGGUUGUGAUAACACUCCAUGGUCCCAGUGACAGGAACUGUGGGUCAUCAGAUGUCCUGUUUCUGAGUGGUGAUGUACUGGUGUGCAGUGGCCAUAUGCUUCCAUUUCUUGGGCUUAAGGGCAGUUGUGAGCGGUUCCAGCCUGCCCUCCUCACAGCUGCCAAGGGCAUUCUAUUUUAGAUCUGCUUGGACUUAGGUCAGUGGCUUAUGACCUUGGCUUCGAAACAGAAGUUCUUCAUAGCCAGGUAGUGGGGAAGACCCUUGAACUCUUCACCAGGAUGAAGCUAGCAGAAGGAACUGGUCCAGUGUCGAUGUCGCUCCCGGCCGGCAGGAAAGACACACGACAAGGCCUCGCAAUCACCGCGUCUGAUGACUUGACAGUGCCACGGCUCCCAACAGUCCAGCUCUCUGGUUCCAGAGGCAGGGUGCUGGUGUGGCUCUGUCUGAGGUCACGCCGCAUAUCUCAUUCUGGCUGUGGCUGCUGCUGCUCCUGUGCAGGGAUGAGAAGACCUGGCUGGAACCUCACUGUUGCCAUGAUCUUGAAACUACUAGGUGACCUCUGAGCACCAGGAGCUCCCCAUCUGUCUUAUAAAUUCUCACAGCCCUUCAGGAGAUGUUUGGUGACUCCAGGUCCCCUCCUUAUGAUCCCCAUGUGAGCCUAUGCUGGUGGUGGGACUUCCUUUCCUUCUAGAGUACAGCCAGCUGUCAGUUGCAGCUCAUGUAUCAAAUGGUUGCUCUCUAUGGUAACUGCACAGAAGAUGGUUUUGUGGUCACCCCUAGAUGAUACAGAAACAACCCUGCCCCCCCCCCAACCCAACUCUCACACAGGGAGCCAGGGUCACAGUUGGACCUCUUGGCAGCCAUCCUAAGACUUGAAACGGGGGACUUGAAGCCAUUGCUUGUGAAUUUGCAUGUUUUCCUUUCUUUGCCUUGUGAAAACCGACUUCCUGCACAGCCGCUUGGUUUUAAACCCUAGGAAAGGGGGGCAGCUUUCUGCCCUUGUGCACUGUGCGCCUGGUUCACGGGACUGUUAUGAAUUAAAGAUUACAGCCGUUACAGAGACCAUCUGUAAACAAGGCCAGCUCCC
Molecule: long non-coding RNA, 35465 nt
Organism: Cavia porcellus (domestic guinea pig)
Lineage: Eukaryota; Metazoa; Chordata; Mammalia; Rodentia; Caviidae
Exons: 2
Source: RefSeq, a predicted model, not a curated record